Molecule: ribosomal RNA, 523 nt
Filed under: uncultured bacterium
Lineage: Bacteria
Description: partial 16S ribosomal RNA
Rfam family: Bacterial small subunit ribosomal RNA
Source: RNAcentral
AUUGAACGCUGGCGGCAGGCCUAACACAUGCAAGUCGAGCGGAUGAAGGGAGCUUGCUCCUGGAUUCAGCGGCGGACGGGUGAGUAAUGCCUAGGAAUCUGCCUGGUAGUGGGGGAUAACGUCCGGAAACGGGCGCUAAUACCGCAUACGUCCUGAGGGAGAAAGUGGGGGAUCUUCGGACCUCACGCUAUCAGAUGAGCCUAGGUCGGAUUAGCUAGUUGGUGGGGUAAAGGCCUACCAAGGCGACGAUCCGUAACUGGUCUGAGAGGAUGAUCAGUCACAUGGGCACUGACACACGGCCAAGAGUGCUGGGGGGUGCGGCUGUGGGAAAUCGUGGAGGAUGGGCGGAAGACUGAUGCAGCCGUGCGGCGUGUGGAAAGAAGGUCAGAUUAUUGGAAAGCACGUUGAGUGGGGAAGAAGGGCAGGAAUGUACUACCUUGCUGUUUUGACCUUACCAACAAAAUAACCGCCGGCUAACGCCGUGCCAGCAGCCGGGGUAAUGACGGAAGAGCCCACGUCUACC